Molecule: long non-coding RNA, 7256 nt
Filed under: Ananas comosus (pineapple)
Lineage: Eukaryota; Viridiplantae; Streptophyta; Magnoliopsida; Poales; Bromeliaceae
Description: long non-coding RNA (ACOM_LNC021686)
Source: RNAcentral
AAGAUAAAAUUAGCACGCUAUCUAUUUUAUUCAUUAUGUAAAUAAAUUUAGCUACAAUAAUUGAGACAUCGGAGCCUCAGAAAAAUUUAGGGCGAAAAAAAGAGAUAUAAAAAAGUGUGAUUACAAUCGAAAAUCAAAAUCCGUUACUUAGUUCAGUAAAAUUUAGCGCAUUUCUUUUCUAUAUCAUCUAACGGUCGCUAAGGGGUCAAAAGAUUGCUUUCUAAAAAUCACAUUAUUUCUUUCCCGCGAAAUCUUCCACCAACAUGUAGCAGUUAAAGCCAGAUUAUUUGCUGCUGUUUUUCUUUUUGUGUUGUUUCCCAACAUAAACUUCCAUAUAUCCUUGACCUCUGUUACAGAAUCCGAAAUAUGUCUACCUUCUAAAAUAUUGAACAUCCAAAAUCUACUAAAUACGCACCCCACCAGUAAAUAAUCGACAGUCUCAACUUCGCAACCACACAUAACAUAUUGUUGACUUCCGAACCAACCUCCUUUGUGCAAGUUAUCAACCGUGAGUAAGCAUUUUCUAAAGGCUAACUAAAUAAAGAUUUUAACUUUAUACGGUAUUAAGAAGUUAAAGUUUCUUUUUAGGAAUUAAAAAGUUAGAAUUAGCUUCAAGACUCCAAAAUAGAAGCCUAAAGUUAAAGUUUCCGAUCUCGUUACUGUUGAAAAUACUACUACCACCACAACAACGACAUCAGCAAAAAGGGAGAAAACCAAUCACUGGGAUGAGAAUAUCACUGUAUUAAAAAAAAAAGAAAAAGAAAAAACUCCUAAAUUGUUCAAAAUUUCCCCGUCGAGUGAUUCAAUAGAUUGACAUGUUAAAAAGUAAAAGGAGAAUAUCUACAAUUUACAAUCUGAUACAUUCUUGUUCAUAUCGAUCUCAUAAAUGAGGCCGUCAUGGACGCUCAGGGAAAAGCUAAAAGACAAAAACAAAAACAAAAAAACAGCUCCAAAUGAAUGAGGAGAAGGCAUUAACCUCUCUGGUACCUACAUCAAGCUACACUGUUGAGGAUUUACUUCUUUGGUUUUUUGGGCGGUGGCGGUCCCAUGGUACCUGCUUCAGCAUUGCGUUUAAUUCCCAGAAAAUGUUCAACCUGUUAGAGGUAUAGCAAUAUGUAAGCAGAUUUUCCCUACCAAAAUAUACGGUACCUUCGUGUGUUACCACGGAAGGCACUCAUAGUUAAACAUACGUAAACAUAUUAUAAAAUUAGGCAGUAAAAACAGAAUUUUUAGGUUCAGCUGUCCAUUUCAACGGUUCUAUGAAAUCCAUUGUGCAACAAUGUCAAGCUGUGGAAGAGAAACUACCUUUUUAUCCCCCAGCAUUGGUGUCAGGCUCCCCAGAUGGUCUUUCUCUACUGUAGCAAAGCCGCUUCUAGGGUCGCUAGUUUGCCUAAAUCACAGAAGAACAUAAGUAGAAUAUAGAAGAAAAUGUUCUCUGCAAACACAUCAGUAAGGAAAAGCACUACAGUAAUGUGACGCUAUAAAUGGGAAAGAAAAUAAUUUCAGAAGCUUUAUAUUGCUGCAUAUUGGCGGCACUUGUCAACAAAUUCUAUGCAGGCUGAAAAUAGAGACAACUGUAGCCUCUAUAAAAACAGCAAUUACCAGCAGAGUUCAUAAAACUUACCCUGGUUUUACAUGCCCGCUCAAAACAAGGUAAGGAGUCUUCAACUUAGCCUGAGCUUCUCUCAUUUUCUCCAUGGCCAACAAUGGCGUGUCAGAAGCUUUCAUCUGUUUGGUCUUUAGAUCCUCCUGAAACUUCUUCAUGCGCUUUUCUUGCUUCAUUUUCCCUGGUCCCUUGCCAUGGAAUUUGUGUGAAAGCAUCCGAAAGGCCUCCUUUGGCGUCAUCUGAGUAAAGCAGUAAGAAGGCAUCAGGAUACAACUCACUAUUAGCUCUCAUUUUGAUCAUAAAACAAUUGUAUAUGUACAUAACAUGCUACAAAGCAAAAGACAACUCACAAUUCGUCCAAAUUCAUCAGUCCUCUCAAUGCGCAUUUCCUUAGGCCCCUCAUUAUCAUUGAUGCCGACAAGCUUACUUUUCUUCUUGUCCAUAGUUCUGCCACCCCAAUCAAUCCCCUCAUUAAGUGUUCCUCGAUCUUUAAGCAACUUUAGAGCUCCAGCUAGUCCUUUUCCGACAGCCAACUCAUGAAUAAUUUCAUCAGGGGCAACAUCCGUGUCGUCUUCAUUGACAGGUAAUUCUGCACUGUCAAUUUCAUUCACUUCCGUCCAUCCGCCAACCUCAGCUUUCACUUCCUGCUCUGCAGGCUCAGGGGCAUCAUCCUCAUCCAUGAAUACAUCUUCUGCUUCAGGUUUAUGAGUAUCUAAAAGAAGAGGAAUCAACACAUAAUAUUAGCUAAGCCUCAACUCAAGAAAGAGACUAUCCAGAAUAGAAGAAACUCGGUGCCUAUUUAGCCUAGCUUCCUUCUGCUUUCAGCUAUGGUUCACCUGCAGUGAACUGUCUGGCAAACAGAAAAGUUUGCUGCUUUUAUUAGAAAAUUGUAGUUACAUUACCUUGAUUAAGUUGUAAACCCAUUAGAAAAUCCUCCAUCUCCGUUAUGACAACCUUAUUCUCCUGUGCUUCUUCUGUAGAACUGGCCUCUUCUUCUCUCUUCUUGGAUGUAGCUAAGAGCGCAACUGCUUGAGGACCAACAGGAAUUGAUUCAUCCUGCUUUCUUAGGGCAAGCCUUCUCGCCUGCUCGAGAGACCUUUGCAGAUCUUCAUAAUCUUCACCAAAGACAAGUUCCACAUCCUGUGGAACAGAUUGUACAGUUAUGGUUUGCUCCUGCUGCAAAACUUUCGAUGCCUCUUCUGCCUUUGCUAUAGCUGCUUGGUACGCGUUACUUCUCCUCUCAGCCUCAGCUCUCUCCUGCUCCUCCCUUGCCACUUGCCGUUUUAGAUCAUUACGGGAUCCGAGAUCUCCAGUGCCCAAUCCGGCGGCAAUGGCUUCUGCUUCUAAGGCAUCCAAAUCCAACUUCUCUUUCUUCCUCAAGGAUUUCUUUUUCUUUGGCUUCUUAAAUUGAAGCAUUUCUUCGGCAGUGUAAUAAUCUGAAGAUGUCUUUCCUGCUGCGCUGAGAUCUUCAUAGGCUUUUUGGGUGGAACCGCCUGCAAUCCUCCUGCGAAGCUGCCAGUGUAAAAGUAGCUGAUCAGAAAUAACAUCCAAAACAUUCCAUGUCUCUUUCUCAUGCAAAAUAUUCUCAAAAAUUUACAGAAAAAUAUGCAUGUAACAGAAAAUGUUGACCUAAACAUGAUUAUAAUCACAUCGAGAUACACUCAAUACAUGAUUAUCAAAACUGGCUAUUGGCCAAGAGGCUAGCUAUGAAUACAAAAGAACAAAUAGCAGAAAGUAGCAAUAACAAAAAUAACACUAACAACAAACAACGAUGACAACAACAACAACAACGACGAUGACAACAACAAUAAUAAUGAUGACGACGACGAUGACAACAGAAUUUCAGCAAAAAAUAAAUAAAUAAAUAAAAUAAACAUGAUACAAGUCCAGUAAAUUUAUUUACAGUCAAAGAGGAAGGUGUGGAAGGGGGAAAAAAAACAAAGAGAACGAAGGUCCAAGAAGGAAAUGUCCAUGAAGUUGUCACUUGAGAAUCUAAAAGAUAAAGUAGGGGCACAUAUAACCUUAACAGCAACGGGAGACAAAGCGUACCUCUUCCAACUUCUUCUCUGCUUCAACUGAGAAGCCCCCACUUUCAUCCAAGGUAACACCCUUUUGAAAAAGAAAAACAUAAUCAGAAUAGGAGGAGAAAUCUUAAAAAAAGAAAUCAGUCAACUCUGCGGGAUAUAGUCACCUCAUCUUCAAUCUGAUCAUCAUAUUGUGGAAGUAUUGGUCUCCGUGACCCCAUUUCGUCACUAAAUCUACAAGUUUCAAAUGGGAAAUGAACAUUUACUAUAUGAAGCCAUUCACAGAAAAAAUAACUUUUUGCUAUCAAAAAGAAAAGGAUAAGAAAUAAUUUUUCAAGUACAAAACCUACUUAUCAUCAUAUACUCCGGUCUUUUUCUUUGCUGCCCUGUAUGCAUCAUCUCUCUGUUUUUGCUCCACGAUCUCCACAUUUUCAAGCACAUCAGACUCUGGUAUAUUCAUUCAGUAUCAAAUUAGCCUGAAAGAUUAGAAGUAAAUUGGUAAGCUAUUUUUACUACAAUUAUCGAGUACCUUCAUUAAUGUCACCACCAGCAAGAAUAUUUUGAUCUUUCAGCACCAAGGUAACAGCUCCCUCAGCUGCUUUUUCAAACCCAUGACUAAUUUUUACUCCGGCUAGGUGGCCUGAAAGCAGGAACAGCAGAACACUAAUUGUUAGAAAUAUUGCCCAACAAAUUAAAAAAAUAUAUUACGAAGUAAAAAUAAGCAGAAGAACCACCCAUCUUCAAAUAAGCAUAUUAAAAUUAGUUAGGAAAUUGGUCCCUGUAGCUUGACUCGAAUUUCAAUUUCGCCUCGUAGUAUCAAUUCUAACAAUAUAGCCCCUGAAGUUUGUUCUGUGUAACAAUUAAGUCCCACCUUCAGUCAACCAUCUGGAAAAGUGCCACGUGAGCGCCAUUAAUAGACUUUCCGUUGUUAAAAUUGAAUUACUAAGAACGAAUUGGACCUGAGUUCAAACAUCAAGGACCAAAUUGAAAUCAUGACCAAACUUCAAGGGUAAGUUUGAAGCUCGAAACUCUCAGAAUGAAUUUGAAAUGAAAACAAACUUUUGGGAUAAAAUUACAACUAAGACUCUGUUGACCAAAAUUGUAACCCAGGUCAAACUUAGGGGACUAAAUAUGUCACUGACCCUGUAAACUAAUAUUCAAGAAUCAAGUACAAGAUCGUGUACCUCUAUCAAGUUCAUCUGCUUCAUCAUCUCCACUUCCUGCUAGGAUGUUAUCCUGAGAAUUUCAUAUACGCAGUAAGAACCAUUACAUCACAAUAGUUGAUUCCUAGAGAAAAGCGGAAAAUAUUAAACCACUCACCUGCUCCUCCAAAGCUUUUGCGAGAUGUAAUGCUUUCUCCUUCUCAGCGUUUCGCUUCUCCUCAAGCUUCCGACUCCUAGUGACCCAAGCUAAGAUCUCAGAAGUACUAUCAGAUGUCACCUUCAUUCUUUCUUCUCUAAUCCUGACAGGACAAAACUGAUCUUAAAAACAAUGACACGCCAAAUAUUUAACAAGCAUGAUAUGAUCCUUUUCAACCAAGAGAAGUAAAAAAAAAAAAAAAAAAAAAAAUACAAAGCAAGAGGUACGGUGUUAUAAUGGUAUCUCCCGUGACGAGUACAGUUAGCUUAACCUGCAAAGUUCCAUAUGACGAAACACAGAAGCUUCAAGAACAGAUGCAUAGCUUAUCAUAGUUUGUCAUUGUCAACUCUCAUUUGCAGCAAAUAGUUAGUCACAUAGAUCACUAGCAAUGAAAUGCAAAAGUAAUUUACUGAUAGCAAGAGAUUUGGACAUUAAAUUAGUUCAAAAAGGAAUUCAAAGGGCUACAUAAGUGGCUAUCAAGGGAAAUAAAAAAAAAGGGGUCUUACUUCGUAAGACGCUCUCCAAGAUCGGUGCUUGGCACCUUGGGAGCGGUCGCUUCAUGAAGGUUAUCCUUCUCUCGAUCUUCGUCCUUCCUCUCCCUAGACUUCUCCUUGGCAUUGUCCCUCUCUAUCUUAUCCCUCUCCUUCUCUCGAUUCUUACUUCUCUCCUUCUCCCUAUCCCUCUCUUUAUCUUUUAACCUAUCUUGAUCCUUUUCCCUCUCCCUCUCCCUCUCCCUCUCCCUCUCCCUUUCCCUACCCUUCUCGCGAUCUCGCUCUCGCGCUCUCUCAUCCCUCUCACUCUCAUGAUGCUUACUUCUUUCCCGGCCGCCCUUAUCCUUCUCCCUGCCGUGAUCGCGCUGCUCUCUUUCUCUCUCGCCUUCUCUAUCCUUCUCCCUCUCCUUCACCCUAUCCCUAGACUCUCUCUCCUUCUCCCUAUGCUUACUAUCCCUCUCGUAAUCCUUCUCCCUCGCCUUCUCCCGACCACUCUUCUCCUUCUCCCGAUCCCUCUCCUCCUUCCUUCGGUCCCUACCACUAUCCCUUCUAUCAUAUCGAUCCGAAUCCCUGUGCUCCUCUUUCUCCCUCUCCCUCGACCGAUCCCUGUGCUUGCUUCUAUGCUUCCCCGGCUCCUUAUGCCUCUCCCUAUCCCUGUCACCGUCCAUGCCGUCCACCUCCUCGUCCCUAACCCCUCUCCCCGAAACCCUAGCGUCCUCCCCCAUCUCCGCAUCCGCUACACCCAUCGAAUUGCCGAAGAGGGUGGAGUAAUAGACUAAUAGCUCCCAAAAAUCCGGUUGUUAUGCUGCGAAGGAGCAAAGCGACGCGGUUACAGCUGAGAUUUGAGAUAAAAACAAGGAAUCGAGGAGAGAGAGGGAGCGGAUUCGAGGAUCAGAGAGAGCUUACCUGAUGAAUCGGAACACACGAUUAGGGCAACAAAACAGAUGAUCGAGAGAACGAGAUCGAGAGAGGAGGGAAAGAGGGAAGGGAAAGAGGGAUUAGAGCGGGGUAUAUAAUGCACGCGAGGGUCGGCUUAUAGUGGGCUUCUAUUUCGGCCCAUCCAAACCCAUAAAUCAAGCUAAUUUGGGCCGAACCAAAUAAAGAGAAAUUAACUGGCCCGGCCUAUACAAAUAUUUAACGGGUCCCAAUUUUGGCCCUUGAGUCUCGUAUAUUGAGACUUGGACCCGAUCCGCAAAAGGUGGGAAGUGGCCACGUGGGCAGUGGGCCGGUUGGAUUUGGGUUGUGGUGAAAUUUUCAGCAGACCCCCUCAGCUAUUAGAGACUUUGAAAUGGAGUCUUCAACUUUUUUUUGUCACACAUACGCUGGCUUUUAAAUAUUUAGUUAAAUUUGAAUUAUUUUUAAAAAUUAAAAUGGAAAUUAGUUAUUAAAUACUGAAGGAUUUCACAAUUUUGUUAUUUGAAAAGUGGAUACAGCUGCUAAAUUUUAUGAAACAGGUGUUAAAUCAAAUGAUAUCUCGAAUUGAAUUGAUUGAGAAAAGAAAUCAGAAAAAGUUAAUAAAGCAAAAAAUCAAAAAAAAAGAAAAAAAAAAAAAACCUUUCAACUACAUAUUGCCCUAAUCUUAAACAUUUAAAAAAAAAAAAACUUUUUUAUGUGACCAACUUUGGAAAAGAAAAUGACUAUAGAUUUUGGAACACUUUUUUCUUUUUCUCCCUUCAAUCAGGAACCAAUCUACAAUUCCAUAAGUCAAACGCAAUUCAUGUAUGUUUCCAUAGACAUGCAUUUACAAAUUUAAUUUGAUGGGUAGCUACAAAUUAU